RNAcentral lists this long non-coding RNA (2115 nucleotides) under Panax ginseng (ginseng). RNAcentral describes it as "long non-coding RNA (PGIN_LNC008512)". Lineage: Eukaryota; Viridiplantae; Streptophyta; Magnoliopsida; Apiales; Araliaceae. The record is from RNAcentral.
CCAUCCUUCUCUUUCAUAGCUAUCACUUGAUAGAUAGAAUGGCUUCUAAUCCAUCCUUGCUUCUUAUUAGUCUCAAUCAAAGAGGAAAGAGCCUAUUUUUCUUUAAAGUGACUUGCCUUCCUAGCGCUAAGCAUAGAAAGCUCUCACGCGCACAAUAGACUCUAUCAGACUAGGAAUCUGUUACCGUUCCCCAACCCAAAGAGGUUAAUCGAUGCAAUUGCACUCUGUCUUGUGUUUCCUUGAAAGACUAGCUCUUCCCUACUGACCUUUCCUUACUCGCUGGUUAGCUGGAAGAAGCUGUCCGCUCGUGCUUCUUUCGAGUGAGAUGUCCAUACCAGGCAAUCAUCUCUUCUUUGGCAUUCCCGUAUCCGUCCAACCUUGAUCUGCUACCUCUCCACUUUCAAUCUUAUUUUGAAACUUACCCCUUCAGAAAGAUUCACCACAAAAUCUGCAUAUGCACUGGUAGCCACAACCAUUGAAGAUGAACCAAACCUUUCAUUUCCAAACUGUCAAGACCUUCGCUGGCCACCCCCACUCUCAACAAACUCAAAUACUUCCUAAGGCUCUGUGCCCAUAAUCGUCUUCCAACCAGGAGUCAUCCGCACCACAUACACAUUCUAGCUGAAAACUUCUGCCCUCUUUGUCCUUUCGAAACGAAAAAUGUUCUCCAUGUGCUUCGAGACUGCACAAAAGCUAAAACUAUAUGGAGGGAGUCAAUCUCCAUCUAUGAAAUUCUUUAUGAAAAGUGAAGUCAUAAGUUCGUUGAUUGAUAGCCAUCACGCAGGCGUACCAUCAUUUAGGCUUUUCGAGACUCACAAGCUGCUUAUGCAAGGGAAUUGCCCAAGAGGGCCUUCUCGACCAAUCCUAGCUACCUUGAGUUCACAUGCCAUAUAUCUGCUUAUCAAACUUCCUCUCCGGUAAGGGAGAUAGAUGGGUAGUUCCUACUCAUUGCCUCUAGUUUUUUGGCGGCUGGGAAUAAAAGCACAGACGCGGAUAUAGGGAAAAAUUCAUAUAGAAAUGCCAAGGCGGGGAUACCAAUCCUGAGACAGAGCUUGCAUCUUCCCAGCCUGCGUCAUCUCGUCGAGCACUAACUCAAUCCGUAACUCUUAUUGAAUGAACUGCUUGAAUUUGAACCCGCCAGUCUCAAAAGAAUGUCUUGCCUCGAUCUUUGCCGUUCAAAAGUUAAGACACUACCACCAGGAACCCCCCUAUAACCCCCAGGCAGGAGCUUUCCAGAGAAUUACUUACUCACAAUAGAGUGCUACUACAGAGAAGGAAGGGGAAAGUCAUCAAAAAAGUUCAGAAAGAUUGGUAACUAGAAGAUAGAGACAGAGAAGGUUACGAGUGCAAUCGCUGGGGGCAGAGGUCCGGGCAGGGACGGAAAGCCUGGUCCGGUUCCUAAAAAAAGAAAAGAAGUAUCAACUCGAGGAUCUGCAAGAAAAGACUCAAAGACAGCCAAUGAAGGGACAUGGGAUAGCCUAUUAGGGGAAAAAGGAAGCUUUAUAGAGGAAAGAUGGGCACUAGCCGAGAGAAAGAAGCACAAAAAGAAGCCUAAGGGAGAGAAUCUUUCGUCCACCAAGGACUUUUAGGUUCUUCUUCUUCUAAUCCUUCCGACAACAGCGCUUACUUCUAUGACACCACCACCGGUACCGGUUAGGAGAGCAGCUUUUUUGCCCACUUCUCUCAUUAUAGUCAUUUGUGGCAUUUUUCCUUCAAAGAGAUGAUUCAAUAGCAGUAGCGCCAGUCAUGAACCCAGGAGCUCCAACUCGUACUCAUAGUUAAGCAGCGGCAAGACUAAGAAGGGCAAGAGCCAGAGCUUCUAUUUACUCAACUGCUGAUUCAAUUGCGACAAGAGCAGAUUCGAGAGCAUCAAUGAAUGUGCUUGCGUCCUCUUCUUUAUUAUACCUCCCAAUGGGAACUGUGCACAACCGAUUCCUCCACCUCAUCUGCACCUCAAAAGAGGGAAUUCUAGAGCAGCUAAAAAUAGGAAAAGCACUAGAAUGUUUCAAAAGGCUAUGGCCCCGAACAUGCCGUUUACCUAAAUGAGGUUUAAAAGGUGGGGCUCCCGAUUUCCUAAUCUGUCUCGAUCUCUAUCCCAUACAUUACGUUGGUAAA